This 313-nucleotide unclassified non-coding RNA is filed under the name Hevea brasiliensis (rubber tree). The record is from RNAcentral. Lineage: Eukaryota; Viridiplantae; Streptophyta; Magnoliopsida; Malpighiales; Euphorbiaceae.
GUGAUAAUCCACUUGUGGGGUUUUUUAAUAGCUUUGUUCGUGAUAGUUUGGCUAGAGAGAAAGAGAGGUUAGAGAUGGCUGAGAAGACUUUCAAGGCCCUUGAUCUCAAUAAGUUAAAGAGCUGUUUUGGAUUUGAUACAUUCUUUGCAACUGAUGUUCGAAGAUUUGGUGAUGGGGGAAUUUUUAUUGGGAAUUUAAGAAGACCCAUUGACGAGGUCAUUCCCGUGCUGGAGAAAAAACUAUCUGAAGCGGCAGGGAGGGAGGUCGUUGUAUGGUUCAUGGAGGAAAAGAAUGAUGAAAUUACAAAACAGGC